Molecule: unclassified non-coding RNA, 336 nt
Filed under: soil metagenome
Description: partial contains 5.8S ribosomal RNA, internal transcribed spacer 2, and large subunit ribosomal RNA
Rfam family: 5.8S ribosomal RNA (bases 1-120)
Source: RNAcentral
GAUGAAGAACGUAGCGAAAUGCGAUAAGUAAUGUGAAUUGCAGAAUUCAGUGAAUCAUCGAAUCUUUGAACGCACAUUGCGCCCGCCAGUAUUCUGGCGGGCAUGCCUGUUCGAGCGUCAUUUCAACCAUCAAGCCCCAGGCUUGUGUUGGGGACCUGCGGCUGCCGCAGGCCCUGAAAACCAGUGGCGGGCUCGCUGUCACACCGGGCGUAGUAGAUUUUAUCUCGCUCAGGGAGUGCUGCGGGUUCCGGCCGUUAAAAAGCCUUUUUUACCCAAGGUUGACCUCGGAUCAGGUAGGAAGACCCGCUGAACUUAAGCAUAUCAAUAAGCGGAGGA